Molecule: non-coding RNA, 650 nt
Filed under: Cariama cristata (Red-legged seriema)
Lineage: Eukaryota; Metazoa; Chordata; Aves; Cariamiformes; Cariamidae
Description: Eukaryotic large subunit ribosomal RNA
Rfam family: Eukaryotic large subunit ribosomal RNA
Source: Rfam by way of RNAcentral
CCCACUGAAUUUAAGCAUAUUAGUCAGCGGAGGAAAAGAAACUAAAGAGGAUUCCUCAGUAACAGUAAGUGAAGAAAAAAGAGCCCAGUGCCAAAUCCCUGCCCUGUGGUAGGGUGCAGGACGUGGCGUACAGAAGUCCCCCUCCCCAGCGGCACUCGGGGGACCCAAGUCCUUGUGAUCCAGGCCACAGCUCGCGGGCAGUGUGAGGCUGGUAGCGGCCCCCUGACGUGCCAGGCCCUGGGCUUCUUGGAGUCUGGUUGCUUGGGAAUGCGGCCCAAAGUGGGUGGUAAACUCCAUCUAAGGCUAAAAACUGGCACAAGACAGAGAGCCAACAAGUUCUAUAAGGGAAAGCUGAAAAGAACUUGAAAGAGAGAAUUCAAGAGGAGGUGAAAACAUUAAGAGGCAAUGGGUGGGGCCUGCUAUGAUCAAAGUUUACAGCUUCCUCACAAGGGGAAGUGGAGGGGCAGGUGUGUGCCCUGAUCUCUGGUGACCAGUGAUGGGACCUGGGGGAAUGGCACGAAGAUGUGCCAGGGGAGGUUUAGGUUGGAUAUUAGGAAAAGGUUUUUCACGCAGAGGGUGAUUGAGCACUGGAAUAGGCUCCCCAGGGAAGUGGUUAUGGCACCAAGCCCGACAGUAUUCAAGAAGCAUUU